Molecule: ribosomal RNA, 362 nt
Filed under: uncultured bacterium
Lineage: Bacteria
Description: bacterial SSU rRNA
Rfam family: Bacterial small subunit ribosomal RNA
Source: RNAcentral
ACUCCGUACGGGAGGCAGCAGUGGGGAAUCUUGGACAAUGGGCGCAAGCCUGAUCCAGCCAUGCCGCGUGAGUGAUGAAGGCCUUAGGGUCGUAAAGCUCUUUCGCCAGAGAUGAUAAUGACAGUAUCUGGUAAAGAAACCCCGGCUAACUCCGUGCCAGCAGCCGCGGUAAUACGGAGGGGUUAGCGUUGUUCGGAAUUACUGGGCGUAAAGCGCACGUAGGCGGAUUAGUUAGUCAGAGGUGAAAUCCCGGGCUCAACCCGGAACUGCCUUUGAUACUGCUAAGUCUUGAGUUACGAGAGAGGUGAGUGGAAUUCCGAGUGUAGAGGUAGAAAUUCGUAGAUAUUCGGAGGAACACCAGU